GGGUUGUGAGGUUAAGCGACUAAGCGUACACGGUGGAUGCCUAGGCAGUCAGAGGCGA
RNAcentral lists this ribosomal RNA (58 nucleotides) under Pectobacterium parvum. RNAcentral describes it as "partial 23S ribosomal RNA". Lineage: Bacteria; Pseudomonadati; Pseudomonadota; Gammaproteobacteria; Enterobacterales; Pectobacteriaceae. The record is from RNAcentral.